AGAGAAAGACGAUUAAAUUAAGAUUAAAAUUUUGAUUUAUUCUUUAGCUGUUAAUUUAAAUCUAUUAUAGUAGAGUCUCAUAGCUCAGCUGGUUAGAGCGCUACACUGAUAAUGUAGAGGUCGGCAGUUCGAGUCUGCCUGAGACUACUAAAUAAAGGAAAUUCUGGAAGUUGAGUAGUGGUUAUAGUCUAACUACUAACUACUACGUACUACUGCUAGUAUAUGGGGAAUUAGCUCAGCUGGCUAGAGCGCCUGCCUUGCACGCAGGAGGUCAUCGGUUCGACUCCGAUAUUCUCCACAAUCAGUUAUACUGAUAAAGUUCAUUGACAUAUUGAAAAAGAUACAUGAAAUUAGAUAUUUAUAUCUAAAAUAAAUUAUUGUAACGAGCAAUAAUAAACUCAUUAAAAGACAAAAAGUAC
This 419-nucleotide transfer RNA is filed under the name uncultured Flavobacteriaceae bacterium. RNAcentral describes it as "16S-23S ribosomal RNA intergenic spacer". The stretch from base 74 to 147 matches the Rfam family "tRNA". The record is from RNAcentral. Lineage: Bacteria; Pseudomonadati; Bacteroidota; Flavobacteriia; Flavobacteriales; Flavobacteriaceae.